GGGAAUGUAGCUCAGUGGUAGAGUACUUGCCUCUCAUACAUGAGGCCCUGGGUUCGAUUCCUCAGUACCA
This 70-nucleotide transfer RNA is filed under the name Dipodomys ordii (Ord's kangaroo rat). It matches the Rfam family "tRNA". From Rfam's summary of the family: Transfer RNA (tRNA) molecules are approximately 80 nucleotides in length. Their secondary structure includes four short double-helical elements and three loops (D, anti-codon, and T loops). Further hydrogen bonds mediate the characteristic L-shaped molecular structure. tRNAs have two regions of fundamental functional importance: the anti-codon, which is responsible for specific mRNA codon recognition, and the 3' end, to which the tRNAs corresponding amino acid is attached (by aminoacyl-tRNA synthetases). tRNAs cope with the degeneracy of the genetic code in two manners: having more than one tRNA (with a specific anti-codon) for a particular amino acid; and 'wobble' base-pairing, i.e. permitting non-standard base-pairing at the 3rd anti-codon position. Lineage: Eukaryota; Metazoa; Chordata; Mammalia; Rodentia; Heteromyidae. The record is from Rfam by way of RNAcentral.